Molecule: non-coding RNA, 32 nt
Filed under: Geobacter sulfurreducens PCA
Lineage: Bacteria; Pseudomonadati; Thermodesulfobacteriota; Desulfuromonadia; Geobacterales; Geobacteraceae
Source: RNAcentral
CUCGCCAGGGGGCAAUCUUUGCUCCUGCCACG